UGGGGAAUUUUGGACAAUGGGCGAAAGCCUGAUCCAGCAAUGCCGCGUGCAGGAUGAAGGCCUUCGGGUUGUAAACUGCUUUUGUACGGAACGAAAAAGCUUCUCCUAAUACGAGAGGCCCAUGACGGUACCGUAAGAAUAAGCACCGGCUAACUACGUGCCAGCAGCCGCGGUAAUACGUAGGGUGCGAGCGUUAAUCGGAAUUACUGGGCGUAAAGCGUGCGCAGGCGGUUAUGUAAGACAGAGGUGAAAUCCCCGGGCUCAACCUGGGAACUGCCUUUGUGACUGCAUAGCUAGAGUACGGUAGAGGGGGAUGGAAUUCCGCGUGUAGCAGUGAAAUGCGUAGAUAUGCGGAGGAACACCGAUGGCGAAGGCAAUCCCCUGGGCCUGCACUGACGCUCAUGCACGAAAGCGUGGGGAGCAAACA
RNAcentral lists this ribosomal RNA (427 nucleotides) under uncultured bacterium. RNAcentral's name for it is "bacterial SSU rRNA". It matches the Rfam family "Bacterial small subunit ribosomal RNA", at positions 355 to 774 of the family's 1533-position model. The record is from RNAcentral.